AAGGACUUCAAAGGACAUGCACAGAUUCUUGAAAAGGGCGGUUACACCAUGUUUACACCACAUUAUAUAACAUGGUUUUGUCCUGCGCCUUUCAUUCUGAGCGACCAGUGCAAGUCUCAGUGCAUAAACCAUGGGAGAUAUUGUGCACCUGAUCCAGAAAAGAAUUUUGGGACGGGGUAUCAAGGAAAAGAUGUGGUAUUCGAGAACUUGAGACAGCUUUGUGUACACAGGGUUGCUAACGAGAGCAACAAAUCUUGGGUUUGGUGGGAUUUUGUGACAGAUUUUCACAUUAGGUGCUCAAUGAAGGAAAAGAGGUAUAGCAAAGAAUGUGCUGAGGAUGUCUUGAAGUCCUUAAGUAAGUACUCUUCUAUCAAAUAGUGUGCAUACAAUCACAUUUCUAUAAUUGUUCAGCGAUUUAUCCUUACAAAUUUAUUGGACAACCAGAUCUGCCAAUUGAGAAGAUAAAAGAUUGCAUGGGUGACCCUGAAGCUGAUGUUGAAAAUGAUGUCCUAAAAAUUGAGCAAGAUCGGCAGGUUCACAAACAUCUUAGACCAACUUUUCUGUUUCUCUUUUCAUGAAUAUAGCUAUUUAAAUAAGCAGUGUAUACCUGAUUUAGGGGUUAGUUAUCAAUUAGGUCACUUGCUUUGUUCGAUUAUAUCAAGUGGGUCAUUGACAAAGUUUUGUCUCGUUUGCAUCACUAAUUUAAAAUAAAAUUACAUUCUAUUAAUUUUAAAAAAAAUUAUAAAUGUAAAAAGUUGAUUAUUGAAGUUUUUCUGGAUAAGUAUAUCUCAUCUUUCUUACUACUUCGCUUUUUCUAACCAAACAUGUACUCGUCUUCCUUUUUCAAUUCAAUUCAACCUCUAUUUGUGUACAAUUCUUUGAUCUAAUUUUUGAUUUUCGUAUUAUUUAUGUUCACAUUUCCUUGUGACAAGUUCACGUCAAAUGCCAAUCAUAUUCAUGUCACAUAAUUUAACAAAAAAUGUUUAUUUUGACUUAACUUCGCAAAAAUUUAUCAAGAUAUAAUUUAAUUUGAAAUAAGUGGUGCAAAUGAGACCAAAUAUUUGUUGUGAUCCAUUUGAUACUUUGAAGCGAAGCAAGUGGCCUAAUUGAUAAUUAACCCCUAGAUUUAGCAUUAGCCACUUAAAAUCAUAUUCCUGCAAUUUCAUAGUACCCUGAAUUUAUUAUGCAUGUUGUCUGUGCUAAUAAUAGUACAAUGUUUCUGAUUUAUAUAUAGGUUGGACGAGGAUCUCGUGGCGAUGUUACUAUCUUACCGACAUUAGUCAUUAACGAUGUUCAGUAUAGAGGUAUCUUGUGAUUGCUCUUCUAUUGUAUUUCUCUUAUGUCAGAGUCAAUUACUCUAUCAUGCCAUAAUUUCAAUCUGGAACACUAAAUAUCUCUUUGGACUUCAAUUCGAUCCAUCUCAUCUGCAUCAAAAUCCACAAUAUUCUAACAAUAUGUGACAACAUUAUCUUACACUUGUUGCUAAUGUAUAUAAUAGUAAUAUGAAUAUUCUUGUAAACUUAUAUCAAAAGAAGAAAACGUCUGAUACGUGGUAAUUCAUUAAAUUAUGCAAUAAUUUUUGGACUUCCUGAGAAAGGUCUAAAUAAAGACUUGAUGAACUAUUAAGUUCAAAAGAUAUAAGAAAUCUGUCUGCGAUUUAUACAAAAAACACGAGAUGCCUGGCUGGUUUACUGGAUUGGUCACUCUUAUGAACAAAUUAAGUGGGACAACUCUAUCAUAGUGCAUCGAUUGUAGUGGAUUUUGCAUGUUCUUCUCCUCUCUUUUAUGGUUUUUGGUUCUUUCCGGUUGUGCAUCUUUUUCUUAUUCAUACAAAAAAUAUGCCCCAAUUGGUAAUUCGCCCGAUUAAAUGUGUCCGCUCUUUGGAAAGUGCCUUCGUAUACGUCCUUGGGAUUAGAAGAAAUGUUAUGGUAACUUAUCUUGAUAUGUUAAUUGUAUUUGCCACAGGGAAACUUGAGAGAACUGCUGUGCUGAAGGCCUUAUGUGCUGGAUUUCAGGAGACUACUGAGCCUCCAAUUUGUUUAAGUGGAGGUUAGUUGUUAACUCUUAUAUGUACUCAUUAAAUAUAUGUGCCCAUAUCUCUGCCUAUAAUUAAAUAUGAUAAAUAGAUAUGGAGACCAAUCAGUGCCUUGAGAGGAAUGGUGGUUGCUGGCGAGACUCAAAAUCUAAUAUAACUGCUUGCAAGGUAUGCUAAAACGCGUACCACUUCUUAGAUAUAAUUAAUUUUCAUCAAUAUUAUGUACACGACAACAUGUUCUUCUGAAAAUAUUAUAUGACUCGCAAGUGAUUGUAAUUUGUAGGACACGUUUAGAGGAAGAGUAUGUGAGUGUCCCGUGGCCAAUGGGGUGCAAUAUAAAGGCGAUGGAUACAUGUCUUGUGAAGGUAGAGAUUUCGUUAUAAGCUAGCACAUGAUCUACACUUUCACAAUUUUGAUGCGAAUUGAUGCUUCCUAUUUUAUGAAAAUGAUGCCUGUGUAAAACUUUUGCCAUCUAGAGAAGGAAAGAUCCACACCUGUACUAAGUCUCUCACUGUAGAAUAGAUACACAAGCAUUUCGCACAAGCAACUGUUUUCUUACAUUAGCUAUAGGGAUGCAAAAAUGAAUUCCAGCCAUGAUUCUGUUAAGCACUUAUAUCUUGACUAGUCUGUCUCUUUAAUGGGACUGACGUAUAGAAGGUUUAGCAGAUUCAGUAUGAUGAAGAAUAACGACCAUAAACUUAUCCAAUAAGAAGCUUUGUAUGUUCAGUCAUGCCUGUGCCUAAGUUUAUUUAAAUAAUGAAACCAAACCAGUUGGGUUAUGUGUGCUACUUCUAGAAUAUAUUGGCUCAUGUUACUGGAGCUACUAUUAAUUUCUUAAUUAACCAACAAUCAGAUUGCUCAGGCCCUGCUAUUUCCAUUUACUUACCUUUUCUAUGUAUUUUACAGCCUUUGGACCCGGAAGGUGUGCAAUAAACAGUGGGGGUUGCUGGUCAGAAACUAAAUACGGACAAACGCUUUCAGCUUGCUCAGUUCAGUGAUGUCCUUUUUUUUUUUUUCCAAUUGUACUACAUCUUGACAUUGUAUUCAGCUAAAAUUUUAUAUCUUGUAUAGGAUUCCGAUAUAACAGGCUGUCGAUGCCCACAUGGUUUUCAGGGGGAUGGCCAUAAAUGUGAAGGUACUUCGUGCUCUUUCUUUUGGUCAUCUCCAGACCUUACUAUAGGGUUUGACAUAUAUAACUUAUAUUUUUCUUUUGGACAUGGACCAGAUAUUAAUGAAUGCUCAGAAGGUCUUGCUUGUCAAUGUGAGGGCUGUUCCUGCAAGAAUACGUGGGGUGGAUAUGGCUGCAAGUGCAAGGGGGAGAAACUUUAUAUAAUGGAGCAAGACACAUGUAUUGGUAAUAAUAAACUCUCUAUAUAAAGCAUCUACUACAGUAACUAAAAUUAUAAUAUAUUUUAAACAUUAUGCAGAGAUGGCAUCUUAGUAGGACUUCCAGUAGAUUUAUCUGUUAUUUAUGUACUAGGUUGUGUUUUGAAUUUAAGGGCUGAAGUUAAUGUUGGUUAAGGAAAGCUGCUUCGUCAAAAUUUAGGUGUUAAGUUAUAAUUUACUAUUUUUCAUUAAAAUGUGACUUCAUCACUAUUCUACUUCGAAGCAUUCAUACAACAGCUUUAUGCGUUCAAGCUCCUGCAUGUUGUUGGAACAUCUAGGGUCGAUGAAUUACAUUUUAGUAGAUCUAAUGAGAUAAAUUUUUGUUUCUUUAUUUUUCUGCCUUCCUACUACAGAAAGAAAUUCUACAAAAUUUGGAUGGUUCCUAGCCUUGUUGAUCUUAGGGGCAGUUGUUUCUGCUGCUUUUGCUGGCUAUAUCUUCUACAAAUAUAGGUUCCGGGUAAGCAGAAUAAUUUUCACCAAAUAUAUAUUUUCUUACAUGCUGGUACCAGGAUCACUACUCACUUAACUAUAUAUUUCUUUCUGUAGUCUUAUAUGGACUCCGAGGUAAUGGCCAUUAUGUCUCAGUACAUGCCACUUGACAGUCAGCAUCAUAACCAAGUCACUCAACAUGAAAAUGGGUCCCUACGACAAGGCAGCUCCGGCGUAUAAUAAAGGUACUUAUGUCAUGGACUGUGCCUUCCUAUGUGACCUUUUGUAUCAUUUCUUUUAUUGUUUUCUACCCACUUUUUGUUGACAAAAACCAUUUACCAUGCAGAAGCUGCAGAAUUACAUACAUCUUAUAAGCCAUUGGUGGUCAAUAAUGGCGAUAUUGUUAGAGACAUUUAGACGAUUUUCACACAACUCAGCAUACGGUGCACAGUUGAGAUGAUUCUGAAAUUUGAAAUAUCCGGGAUACUUGUUUACUGAACCCUUCCCUCCUCUUUUCUUGUUUUGAUGUAUAUACUUUGUUGAGAUGUAGAUGGAGGACCAUAGUUACUGUUACACUUAUAUAGUUGAUGUAUAUAUUUAUAAAAGAAAUAUUAGAAUGGAAUAAAUAAGUUGAUGGUUUCCACAAGCUGUCUCUUUCUUAUUUCAAAGGUCUUGAUAAAGUGAAAGCCUAAAGACGAUAUAAAGAAUGCAGUAUGAGAAUAACUUCACAGACACUGAAGAGUAUAGGAGUAGGGGAUUAGUUUUUUCCUUGAAUUAUUCUUAUUAUUUGAUUAUUUAUGAUUAUACAGAGAUUAUUCAUCCCAUGUUAUGUCAUACAAUAUGCACCUGUUGCUGAUCAUUUAAAAUUUAGUUCACAUGAUGUGCAAGAGCCCAACAUUGAACUCUUUCAACGGAGUGCUAGCCAGAAAACGUACGAAUGAUGCUAACAUAUGUCUCGAGGGGAAGAAAAAAAAAUGUUGGAUGUGAAAAAUUCCUGGAAUGAGACAAUUUUCCACUGUAUGAUAUUACAUCCUUUGUAUAUAUAUUAAAAUUUUAGCGUUAAGCAUAGGCACGCGAAUGAGGACGUGGACUCAAGAAAAAAGUGAAGCAGAAGUUAGAAUUAAGUUAAAAUUUAUAAGCGAUUAAAAUGUUUGAAAAAUAAGUGGAAACAAUAAAACAAAAGUUAGCAUUCCUAAUUUUUUAGGGCAAAUUAAUUUAUAGGUCCUUGAAUUAUUGACGUUUUAUUGUCUAGGUCCCUGAACUAAAGAUUCCGUAUUUCAGGUCACUUAACUUUUCUAUUUUCUGAUCUAAGUCCUUCCGUCAAAAAGAUUCUAACGGUGUUAACUAGGGUUCUUGAGUUUCAUACAGAUCAAAGCAAUUUUGAAGGUGUUAGUGAUAUCCAAACUCAAAGUUCAAAUAGUCAAAUUGAAGUUUGAAUCACUAGCGACACUCAUAUGACAACAAUUUUCACAAAUUAGAUUUAAUUUUAAAAAGCCCUAAAUUUGACCAUAAAUUUAGGGUUCUUUAUCGAAUUUAGUGACCUGAAUUUAUAAAAUUUUAAAUUGAACAUAAUUUUUGAAAAUUGGUGUCAUAUGAGUGUCGCCAGCGACUCAAGCUUCAAUUUGACUACUUGAACUUUGAAUUUGGAUAUCACUAACACCUUCAAAAUUGCUUUGAUCUGUAUGAAACUCAAGAACCCUAGUUAACACUGUUAGAAUCUUUUUGACAGAAGGACUUAGAUCAGAAUACAAAAAAGUUAAGUGACCUGAAAUACGGAAUCUUUAGUUCAGGGACCUAGACAAUAAAACGUCAAUAGUUCAGGGACCUGCAAUUUAAUUUUCCCAAUUUUUUAUAAGUACUUCUUGAUUUUUUACACAAACGGUACAAAUAAGUGCUUUUAACUUAUAAUUCCUAAGUCCGGCUUAAAAGAGCGAGCCAACCACCCACUAAGUGAAUUUAGAAGAAUUUGCACUUGAAAUAAAGCUGAAGUUGGUAGCGAUACACUCAUUCACCCCUUCUUUUACGUCAACAGUGAACACCCAUUUCUCCCUCCUAACAUUCUUCCCUGUAUCUAUCUCUGUAUCUCUAUAUUCCAAAACAAGUCUCCUCUUGACUUCUCUCUCUCUCUCUCGACUAUAUGUUUCUCUUCUUUAUCUCUCCCAGCUCACAAACUCCACACCCCCAUCUUCUCUUCUCACACAACCAUGUCAAGAAGCUUGCUGGGUGUUCUUUUUUGUGUCAUUUUCGUGAGUGUAAAUGGGAGAUUUGUGGUGGAGAAAGAGAGCAUAAGAGUGCUCUCGCCUUAUAAGCUAAGGUCGAAGCAUGAUGCUGCUAUUGGUAACUUCGGAGUCCCUAAAUAUGGAGGUUCUAUGGUGGGGUCCAUGGUGUAUUCUCAUCAGAAUUCUUAUGCGUGUAAGCCUUUUGAUGAUGAAAAAAAGCAGCCCUUUAAGACCCACAUUCUUCUUGUUGAUCGUGGAGGUAACUGUGUGUGUUAUUUUUUUCUUUUUUAUGUUGUCACAAAAUUUUAGUGCCUUUUAAAAUUUAUUUGAGACCUUGUACUUGCAACUAAAAUGUUAUGUUUAUUAAGGUGCGUUACUUAUUUGUUUUAUUUGGAAUGUGGAAUUUUAUGAACACUGGCUAAUCCUAGUAUGCAUGCAUUUGGUAAGAGUGAAUAAAUAGGGCUUUUUUAGGAGCCAAAAUUUUAAUGCUUUUGAUUCUUUUAAUUGGUACAUGGAUAGGUAUACAAGCACUUAGGCAUCUCCAACCAUCACUCUAAAUUUUAUAUUGCUUCACAUUUAAUUUUAUAAAUAGAGUAAUCCAUCUCUAAUCAUCCAUUACUCUAUCUUUAUAUAUAAAGUCAUGCACUAUCCUACUCUAUAUAUGAAGUUGAACUUGAAGAUAAAGCACAAAUUACUUUAUUUAUAAAAUGAAGUAAUGGUUGGAAAUGGAAUAAAGAUAUAAAGUGAAAAAGGUGAAAAUGAAGAUGAAGUUGCUUUAUUUAUAAAAUUAUGAUUGGAGAUGGUCUUAAUCGAAGUAAAUGUAAGAUUUUAAAGUCUCCUUAUUUGUAUAUCCUCUGUUUGUACUCUGUACCAGUGUUACGAUUUCUCCAUUUGAGUCCAUGAGAACUAAUUUUUGCUUUCAUGCAUCUUCUACGAAUUUACUACUCUGUAUAGCAAUGCUAUAACAGAGUGUUCCUGAAUCCUGAAUGCUCAUUUUGGCGCUUCUGUGUCCUUAAGUCUCCUUUCCACCAUCAUACGGAGUAACCACUCCUGACCUCCUGUCAUUUCUUGCCGAUUCUAUAUUAAAUUGUUCUUGAGGGAGGGAGAGUGUGUCAGUGAAGUUACUAGAACAUUUGAACCAGAGAUUUUGUAGCCAGGUAAAAUUGUUGGACACAUUACUCAUGAGUCAUGAUUAUUAAUGUAAGAAAAACUUAAUACACAGAAACACUCUAUGGCUGUACUUAAGAUUUAGUAAGUUGGCUUAUUAAUUGAAAGAGCAUGCUGACUACAUGAUCUCAUCUACUUUUGUACUGGUCUCUGUCUAUUAGGAUAGCUCGUCUUCAACGUGAACAUUCUUAUUGAUAGUUUAAGAGUCUUUAUUUUUGACUUUUUGUUUACCCUAUGGCAAUCAACUGUUCCUCGGUUUAACUAAUAUGAUUCCUCUUUAAUUGUGUCUAUACUAAUUUUAAUGUGUAUGAUCAAGUUAAGUCGAUUUUUCAUAUUUGACCAUAUAAUGCUUAUCAUCUCUUAAAUGCCUGGACAAGAUUUAUUUAAAUGUAGAAGAAAAUAUGGAACAUAGGUACUUUCUAAUUUUUAAAUUUGUUUCAUUUUUUUCCCAGAGUGCUUCUUUGCUUUGAAGGUUUGGAAUGCGCAACAAGCAGGUGCUGCAGCUGUUUUGGUGACUGACGACAGAGAUGAGCCUCUCAUAACUAUGGAGUCUCCCGGAGAAAAUGCUGAUGCAGAUGGCUACAUUGACAAGAUUGGAAUUCCAUCAGCUUUAAUUGAUCGAUCGUUUGGUGAGACUUUGAAAGCUGCUGUACAGAAAGCUGAAGAAGAUGUGGUAAUUAAAUUGGACUGGAGAGAGUCAAUGCCCAACCCGGAUCAGAGGGUUGAGUAUGAGUUUUGGACUAACAGCAAUGAUGAUUGUGGAAUUCGCUGUGAUGAGCAAAUGAAUUUUUUCAAGGACUUCAAAGGACAUGCACAGAUUCUUGAAAAGGGUGGUUACACCAUGUUUACACCACACUAUAUAACAUGGUUUUGUCCUGCGCCUUUGGUUCUGAGCGACCAGUGCAAGUCUCAGUGCAUAAACCAUGGGAGAUAUUGUGCACCUGAUCCAGAAAAGAAUUUUGGGAUGGGGUAUCAAGGAAAAGAUGUGGUAUUCGAGAAGUUGAGACAGCUUUGUGUGCACAGGGUUGCUAAGGAGAGCAACCGAUCUUGGGUUUGGUGGGAUUUUGUGAC
Molecule: long non-coding RNA, 8307 nt
Filed under: Daucus carota (carrot)
Lineage: Eukaryota; Viridiplantae; Streptophyta; Magnoliopsida; Apiales; Apiaceae
Description: long non-coding RNA (DCAR_LNC000709)
Source: RNAcentral